This 106-nucleotide small nucleolar RNA is filed under the name Gossypium barbadense (sea-island cotton). RNAcentral describes it as "Plant small nucleolar RNA R71". It matches the Rfam family "Plant small nucleolar RNA R71". From Rfam's summary of the family: R71 is a member of the C/D box family of snoRNAs containing the C (UGAUGA) and D (CUGA) box motifs. Multiple nearly identical copies of this snoRNA have been identified in Arabidopsis, and it is thought to function as a 2'-O-ribose methylation guide for 18S ribosomal RNA. The record is from Rfam by way of RNAcentral. RNAcentral also lists the same sequence under 1 other name. Lineage: Eukaryota; Viridiplantae; Streptophyta; Magnoliopsida; Malvales; Malvaceae.
AAUCCAUGGUGAUGGCACCUUCUCAAUAGAUCCUUGUAUCUCUCCCAUGCAUCAUAGAGUGUUUCUAAAUCCAUUUGUACAAAGGAAGAAAUAUCAUUCCUUAAUU